UCUGACAUCUGGACAUAAGUCCUCAGAGGAAAGGAAGCUUGAUUUGUCUCAACCUGCCCCAACUUUCUGUUUGCGUCCAGAGUUCAACUUGUCUUUAUUUACACACAAUCAAAGAUAGGCCUGUUACUGCGUUGGCCAUAUUUUGCAGUUGCCAUUGGGCAUGUGAAGUCUGCAGGAGACUGAGGAGCAGCUAUAAAUUCAGAAGGAGCCUCUCUCCCUCAGAAAUCACUUUCCUGAACCAGAUGCCACCAGGUUCUGUUUCUCUGUGGAAGAGUUGUGUUCAUCGAUGCCAUGUGAGAACAGAAAUAUUGCAGAAGAACAUGUCAAAACGAGAUACCUUGCAAAGAGACAGACAGGCCUGUCAGGUCCAAAGAGCAAGGGAAGAACUGCUCCAUCUUCAACCCUUCUCUGAGGGUAGGCCUCUCAUCCAACAUUCUCUCUAAGCCGCGGGGCCGGAAAGAGCGCCGGAAAAUUAGAGGACUGUUGGUCUCAUCUCAAGAUGACCAUCUGGCCUCCCUCCCAUUUCCUCAGUCACAAGGAAGACUCUGAACACUUUCUGGGUGUUAGAGGCCAGAGCAA
This 579-nucleotide long non-coding RNA is filed under the name Pogona vitticeps (central bearded dragon). Its description in RNAcentral is "lncRNA (ENSPVIG00000005132.1)". Lineage: Eukaryota; Metazoa; Chordata; Lepidosauria; Squamata; Agamidae. The record is from RNAcentral.